This 253-nucleotide ribosomal RNA is filed under the name uncultured bacterium. RNAcentral's name for it is "partial 16S ribosomal RNA". It matches the Rfam family "Bacterial small subunit ribosomal RNA", at positions 524 to 776 of the family's 1533-position model. The record is from RNAcentral.
UACGGGGGGGGCAAGCGUUGUUCGGAAUUACUGGGCGUAAAGCGUGCGCAGGCGGCCAUGCAAGACAGAUGUGAAAUCCCCGGGCUCAACCUGGGAACUGCAUUUGUGACUGCAUGGCUAGAGUACGGCAGAGGGGGAUGGAAUUCCGCGUGUAGCAGUGAAAUGCGUAGAUAUGCGGAGGAACACCGAUGGCGAAGGCAAUCCCCUGGGCCUGUACUGACGCUCAUGCACGAAAGCGUGGGGAGCAAACAGG